UCUAAAUAAUUUCCUUCUUUUCUUUCUUUCUCUGUCGUUUUCUUCUUUCUUAAAGCUAUGACCCAUUUCCUCUCUUUCUUCCUUCACAAUUGCUUUUUCUUCUUCUUCUUCUUGAUAUGUUGCAGCUUGCAAUAUUUUUUUUCCUUAUUUUAAAAAGGAAGCCUACACAAACUAGAUUCUUGAUUUCUAAGAUGUUAGAGCAUGACCAUCACGACUCCUGUGAAGAGGAGGAAGGGCAGGAGAAUCUUACAGUGUUGAGAAUGAGGGUAGCGGACGAGGAAUCGAGUAGUAUUACAACAAUGUAAGUGGGUCUGGGUUGAGACCUUUGCCACCGAGCAUACCGAAAUUUUUACUGGGACGUGGGUUCGAAAGGAGAGAGGUUUGACCUCUCCAUGUAAAAGAGAUAAUAUAAGGGAGUGAUUUUUUUUAUUUAUUUAUUUUAUUUAAGAUGUCAUAUGGAUUAGUCAUGUCAGCACAUAGCGGAAGCUAUUGCAGAAAAUUAGACAAAGUGAUUUCAUUGUUGAAUAAAUUAAAAUUUAAUUA
This is a long non-coding RNA of Hevea brasiliensis (rubber tree), 543 nucleotides long. RefSeq lists it as uncharacterized. The transcript is spliced from 2 exons. NCBI's taxonomy places the organism in Eukaryota, Viridiplantae, Streptophyta, Magnoliopsida, Malpighiales, Euphorbiaceae. The record is from RefSeq and is a predicted model, not a curated record.